Molecule: ribosomal RNA, 418 nt
Filed under: uncultured bacterium
Lineage: Bacteria
Description: bacterial SSU rRNA
Rfam family: Bacterial small subunit ribosomal RNA
Source: RNAcentral
GAUGCAGCCAUGCCGCGUGUGUGAAGAAGGACCUUCGGGUUGUAAAGCACUUUCAGUAGGGAGGAAGGUAGUGUAGUUAACACCUGCAUUAUUUGACGUUACCUACAGAAGAAGCACCGGCUAACUCCGUGCCAGCAGCCGCGGUAAUACGGAGGGUGCGAGCGUUAAUCGGAAUUACUGGGCGUAAAGCGCAUGCAGGCGGCCUGUUAAGUCAGAUGUGAAAGCCCGGGGCUUAACCUCGGAAUUGCAUUUGAAACUGGCAGGCUAGAGUCUUGUAGAGGGGGGUAGGAAUUUCAGGUGUAGCGGUGAAAUGCGUAGAGAUCUGAAGGAAUACCAGUGGCGAAGGCGGCCCCCUGGACAAAGACUGACGCUCAGAUGCGAAAGCGUGGGGAGCAAACAGGAUUAGAUACCCUGGUAG